This is a long non-coding RNA of Pistacia vera, 2806 nucleotides long. RefSeq lists it as uncharacterized. The transcript is spliced from 2 exons. The record is from RefSeq and is a predicted model, not a curated record. Lineage: Eukaryota; Viridiplantae; Streptophyta; Magnoliopsida; Sapindales; Anacardiaceae.
UUAUAAGUCUUCCUCUCCCCUCGACUUCCAGGCUUGGGCAUAAUGGCAUUUCAUUUGUUUAUUUCAAUUCCACCUCCAUAUCACUCUUCUUUGGCUUCAUCUUCGAUCUCACUGAUGAUUUGUUUAGUCCUUCUCAUGCAUUCUUUUGAGCAUAUAAGUCAUGAUCAUCAACAUAAGCUGUAAUUCCACAUUCUCUGAGAUUGGAAGAAAGAUUUCAACGAAGCUUUUAAUACAUAAGCUGUGGAGUAUCUAUUUGAGAAUUUUACAUCAACAGUACAGCUUAAAUUACUAUCUUACUCAAUUAGUAGUGCCAUAAAUGAACAAAUUCAUAGGCUUUGGUCAUUCAUGGAUGAGUUUUGAUUAUCUUUGUUUUAAGAUUUAUGCUUUCAAUCUUUGUUUCGACCAUUUUAUAUGUGGUGGUGAUUGGAGAAGUAUCCCCUAUCUUUUCUUUUGGUGCGUUGUCUUAUGCAUAUUCAUUUAACCUAUGAUAUGUGUUUGUGAUUAGAGAAUGCAGUGAGUUCAAAUAAUAAUAAUAAAAACACGUGCAUAUUUAUUCUUUAGAUAAAUAGUAUAUUUUAAACACAUGGUAUAGGGUUGGUAGCAAACUCUUUAUUUAUUAUAUGAUCGUCACUUAAACUUACCAGUCAUUGCUUAAUACAAGCAUAGCCUUUAAAAUGAAAUUAUUUUUAAAUGCAAAAUAUUUGGUUGGUACCAUGACUUUAUUUAUUUAUUAUAUUAAAAAGACAUUUAUGAUAUUCUUGUAAAAUCAACACUUAAUAAUUUUGAGGAAACGUUAAUUAAGCUAGAGCUGCCCUUCUUUUUGUUUUCAGAAAAUGUUUUCUCUUAUCUCCGAAAUUAAAAACAAAAUUAGAGAAAAGGGAUAUAUCUUUUUUAGAAAUACCAGAGUUUACUUAAUUCUAGAAUGACAUUGUAAUUCCCAGAUGACAUCUAAAAAGUAUCUAUGUAUAUAACUCCUCAAUAAGCUAUGAAGAAGAACUAUCUCUUGUAACAUGUAUCCUCAAGAAACAGGACAAAGACCAAGAUCAUAUAAAGUAAAGCUCUUAUUCAAUUAGCUGAUCAUCCAUAGUUUCUUUGAUCUUGCUUCUUUCAUGCUAAGUAUUCUAGGUUUGCCUCAACUAUGUCAUUUUUCUUAACCAAGAUUUCGUGUGAUUAGAGGUGUACUUCAGAUGGUUAGAUUAUAUUGUAAGUAAUACUUCUAAUUUUGCACGUCACAAAGUUCCUUGAUUGGUGUUAUGAAAGCAAUUGUCUUUUGAGUAGAGUUGUUGAUAUGAGGAGCUUGAGUUAGUGAGAGAUUCGCCAUUUGAGCAAGAUGGUUUUGAUACAAAGUUAAAAAUGUAUGAGUAGGCCUUGCUUCUUCUAUGGUUAUAUAUAAUAUUUGGUAUCGUUGCCUAUACUAUUUUCAUAUUAUUAUUUAAGAUAUACACUGUUUUAAUCCGAUUGAUUUAUCUCAGUUCAACACUUAUACUGAAUAACAUACUUUUGACCAAUGCAAUAAAAAUAAGAAAUUAACAAAUAUUCUACGUGUAAUCUUGAAUAGACUAACGUAUAACUAUCAUCACAAUGUUGAAAAUGAAACGUUAAACUGGCAAAUCUACGUAUUUAGUUUAGUUCUAUGAUGCUUUGAUUUGACAGCUCCCUGCAUUGUCUAUCUUUCACCUGUCAGUAUCGUGUAUCUUUUUAGAAUCUUAGAAAUUUGUCAAUUUAUAACUUGAUGUGGGCCUCUUUUUGAGCGAUUUAUGGAAACCUUGAUCCUCUACUCUUUUUAUCAUAAAUUGCUAUAUUCUCCACUUUCUCUCGAACACACCAUACUAUCUUCCGAUUAGCCGGCAAUGGAAACGAAAAUAUUUUCAAAAAAGCUAACACAGACCGAUGUUAGAAAGAGACUUUCGGUUAAAACCCGUAGUCUCCGCUUUUUCCCUCCUUUUGAAGAUGGCCAGAAUGCUCAGGAGCUCAUGGUAGAGGAUGACCAAGGGAAACCCUGGCCCUUUCGCCUGGUUAUUCGUAGUAGGGGACGGUAUAAAAAGCCUGUUCUUACUGCGGGCUGGCGUGAAUUUGUUACUAAAAAGGAACUUCAAAUUGGUUUCAAGGUUAAGUUUUUCCGCGAAAACAAUGACGUUACAGGAGAGGUCAAGUACAAGGUUAAACUGAAGAAACCUUGUGUUAUAUUUAAGGCUGAUUUUGGUGGUUAUAUUUCCCACUGCCCUGCCGGUUAAAUGGAAAAUGUUUUCCUUGAAAAAUUAUCAAGUACGACGAAUCUAAUCUGCUUAUGUAGAUGAUUUUGCUUCAUGACUAUCUGGUUUCUUAAAUGUUGCCCAUGUUGUUUGAGUCUGUUAAGUCGUGCAUAAUAAAAUGCUGUACCAUUUUGUUUUUUUAUAUGAUCCUGUCACUUUAAUUUACCAACAUGCUGUAAAUUCUUUAUCAUCGUAUUGUUAUGAAGAAUAUAUAGGUUCUCAUCAGUGCAUGGAUUGUACGGGAAUUCACCGGAUGCUUUCUCUGGAUUGCCAGGGUCCCCAGGAACAAAGAUCACAGCUUUAUAUUCAAUAAUUAAGCUGAUAUGCUCACAGCUUCUUGUCCGUCUGCUGUGCUGAUUUUCUUGGGUUUUAUAAAAAGGGUCAGUAACUGAUCAGUCCCAAGUUCAGGUUUUGGUACUAGAAGAUCUUCCUUUGUUUUGCUAAGAAAAUUAUAUCAUAUGUUUUUUGUUUUAUUAAUUUUGCCAUUAAAUAUAUCAGUUGUUUUGUCUUCUGGCUUUUUAUGCAAUGGCUUUGUGUUAAAUUUAGCUUCUCUA